This is a long non-coding RNA of Olea europaea var. sylvestris, 888 nucleotides long. RefSeq lists it as uncharacterized. The transcript is spliced from 2 exons. The record is from RefSeq and is a predicted model, not a curated record. Lineage: Eukaryota; Viridiplantae; Streptophyta; Magnoliopsida; Lamiales; Oleaceae.
GGUGAUAAGUUUUAGCAUUCCAAUAACACGAUACACAAAUGUUUUAAACGAGUUGUAAGGGAUGUUUGUUCAUUUGGCAUUGAGAUAAUCGUUCGACAAAUCAAGACGUUGUGCAUGAGCGAAUUUUGUGCAAAUAUCCUCUCUUUAAGGAUUGUAUAGGAGCAAUAGAUGGAACACAUGUUGCAGCUUGGGCUUCUGCAUCAAAACAAACAUCUUUUAAAGGAAGGAAAACUAAUGUCACAAGAAAAUGUGAUGUUGACAUGCGAUUUUGAUAUGAAAUUCACUUUUUCAUAUGACGACUGGGAAGGUACUGCUAAUGAUUCAUGAGUAUUCGUCGACGCAGUUACAAGAAGGUCAAACAACUUUCUAAUGCCACGAGGAGAUCAAUUUUACCUUGUUGAUUUUGGAUAUCCAAACAUGCCUAGAUUUCUUACCCCUUAUCGAGGUCAAAAAUAUUAUCUGCGUGACUAUGUUAGACGAGGAAGACUACGUGGGAAGGAAGAAUUGUUCAACUAUUGACACUCCUCGUGCCGUAACAUUAUUGAACGUUGCAUUGGAGUUUUAAAAGCAAGAUUUUCGAUUUUGAAGUUGAUUACCAAUUAUCAACUUAGUAGGCAAAGAUAAAUCCCUACUGCAUGUUGUGCAAUAAAUAACUUCAAUCGUCAAGAGCACGCUUUAGAUAAGUUAUUCAUAGAGUAUUCAGAGGAGAUUAUGGUGUUUCAAGACAUACCAGAGUCAAGUUAAGAUCAAGAAGUCAUACAUUUUGAUGCUAGUCAAACAGCUCAAAUGGGACAAGUCAGGAAUCAAAUUACUACACAAAUGUUGAAUGACUACUCAAUACAUCGUACAUGAUUUCGUGGAUAUACUUUAUAUUUUGUUUAGUGUCUA